CUACGGGAGGCAGCAGUGGGGAAUAUUGGACAAUGGGCGCAAGCCUGAUCCAGCCAUGCCGCGUGAGUGAUGAAGGCCCUAGGGUUGUAAAGCUCUUUCGCCAGGGACGAUAAUGACGGUACCUGGAUAAGAAGCCCCGGCUAACUUCGUGCCAGCAGCCGCGGUAAUACGAAGGGGGCUAGCGUUGUUCGGAAUCACUGGGCGUAAAGCGCACGUAGGCGGACUGUUAAGUCGGGGGUGAAAUCCUGGGGCUCAACCCCAGAACUGCCCUCGAUACCGACGGUCUUGAGUGUGGGAGAGGUUGGUGGAACUCCGAGUGUAGAGGUGAAAUUCGUAGAUAUUCGGAAGAACACCAGUGGCGAAGGCGGCCAACUGGCCCAUUACUGACGCUGAGGUGCGAAAGCGUGGGGAGCAAACAGGAUUAGAAACCCUGGUAGUCC
Molecule: ribosomal RNA, 440 nt
Filed under: uncultured bacterium
Lineage: Bacteria
Description: bacterial SSU rRNA
Rfam family: Bacterial small subunit ribosomal RNA
Source: RNAcentral